GUGUUUGCUUUGGCAGCACAUACACUAAAAUUGGAAUAAUACACAAGAAGAUUAGCACUGCCCCAUGCAAGCAUGACACAAAAAUUCAUGAAACAUUCCAUAUGUAA
This 107-nucleotide small nuclear RNA is filed under the name Zalophus californianus (California sea lion). The record is from RNAcentral. Lineage: Eukaryota; Metazoa; Chordata; Mammalia; Carnivora; Otariidae. RNAcentral also lists the same sequence under 1 other name.